This is a long non-coding RNA of Mandrillus leucophaeus (drill), 1041 nucleotides long. RefSeq lists it as uncharacterized. Lineage: Eukaryota; Metazoa; Chordata; Mammalia; Primates; Cercopithecidae. The transcript has 3 exons. The record is from RefSeq and is a predicted model, not a curated record.
UGUUGCUGGUCCUUUAUUUGGGGGAUGCCUUAGUAGCGUUUUAAAAAUUAGUUUUUAAUAGCAGCAUUUGUUUAAGAAGGAAGAAAAAACGCUUGGUGGUACCUUCUGGAAUGUACAUUAAUCUUGUUAAUGACAGUACAGUUCAUGGUUGGCCAAACAGGACUUUUGAAUCAACCUGUAUUGUGUGUGAGUGUGUAUGUGCUUGAGAAAGAAGGCCAGGGCACUAAAGAUACAUGAGAAGUGCAUGAAGACAGGAUGCAGGAUUUCCUAUGAUUUUAUGUUGUUCUUAAUUAGGAAGCAUAUUGGCAGCAAAUGCUAACAUGUGUUAGGAUGUUUAGCUGAAGCCAAAUAAAUGUUUUCUAUUACAACUCUGAAUUCCAUGCCUGGUUGGAACCCGUGCUGUUCUGCUCAUGGCUUACAAAAUCCCGUUAAAAGUCAUCUCAAGGGCCAAUUUUCUGUUGGCUCACAGAGCAAAACUACUUUCACCACAUGUUUUCCUGAAGGGUUAUCUACAACUCCGGGUGGAAGUCAAAGAUUGGAAGAGGAUGACCUCUGAUCCUGGAACUGCAUUGCUUGAUGGUCAGGAAGGGUUCUUAGUAAGCAAACUCAGUUUAAUCCCAGAGUCAGAAGUGGGUAUCAACAAGCCAAAGCAGUAUCCUUUCAGUUCUGCUACUUUUUUGUCUUGGUGGAAGAAUAGCCAACGGAAGAAGAUGGAGAAUCCAGACCAAAAAAAAAAAAAGAUGAGACUAAUCUUAUACUCAAUAUGGAAGAUAAUCAUAACUCGUCACUCUGGAUUAUAACUGCUUACAUAUGUCUUUCUUAUGAGAUAAUUCACCCUUGAAGGCUCAGAAGGAACACAAAGACAAAGAAAAAUGGUUCUUGGGUCCUGCCCUCAAGGCACUUACAGUCCAGUUUCAGUUUUAGAAAUUCAACCAAGAACAUGGCUAAUGACUGGUAGAGAUUGUACUGACUAUUAUACCACUUCUGUUAAAAUAUUAUUUUGGUUGAAAUAAUAAAAUGUAGAUUAAAAAAUAAAAUAAA